Molecule: ribosomal RNA, 874 nt
Filed under: uncultured bacterium
Lineage: Bacteria
Description: bacterial SSU rRNA
Rfam family: Bacterial small subunit ribosomal RNA
Source: RNAcentral
AGUCGAGGGGUAUAGGUUUUCGGACCUAGAGACCGGCGCACGGGUGCGUAACGCGUAUGCAAUCUACCUUUUACAGAGGGAUAGCCCAGAGAAAUUUGGAUUAAUACCUCAUAGUAUUACGACUCGGCAUUGAGAUGUAAUUAAAGUCACAACGGUAAAAGAUGAGCAUGCGUCCCAUUAGCUAGUUGGUAAGGUAACGGCUUACCAAGGCAACGAUGGGUAGGGGUCCUGAGAGGGAGAUCCCCCACACUGGUACUGAGACACGGACCAGACUCCUACGGGAGGCAGCAGUGAGGAAUAUUGGUCAAUGGGCGCAAGCCUGAACCAGCCAUGCCGCGUGCAGGAUGAAGCAUCUAUGGUGUGUAAACUGCUUUUGUACGAGAAGAAACACUCCUACGUGUAGGAGCUUGACGGUAUCGUAAGAAUAAGGACCGGCUAACUCCGUGCCAGCAGCCGCGGUAAUACGGAGGGUCCAAGCGUUAUCCGGAAUCAUUGGGUUUAAAGGGUCCGUAGGCGGUUUUGUAAGUCAGUGGUGAAAGCCCAUCGCUCAACGGUGGAACGGCCAUUGAUACUGCAAGACUUGAAUUAUUGGGAAGUAACUAGAAUAUGUAGUGUAGCGGUGAAAUGCUUAGAGAUUACAUGGAAUACCAAUUGCGAAGGCAGGUUACUACCAAUAUAUUGACGCUGAUGGACGAAAGCGUGGGGAGCGAACAGGAUUAGAUACCCUGGUAGUCCACGCCGUANACGAUGGAUACUAGCUGUUCGGAGCAAUCUGAGUGGCUAAGCGAAAGUGAUAAGUAUCCCACCUGGGGAGUACGUUCGCAAGAAUGAAACUCAAGGGAAUUGACGGGGGCCCGCACAAGCGGUGGAGCAU